Molecule: long non-coding RNA, 942 nt
Filed under: Olea europaea subsp. europaea
Lineage: Eukaryota; Viridiplantae; Streptophyta; Magnoliopsida; Lamiales; Oleaceae
Source: RNAcentral
CGCCAACUGAAACAUUAAAAUCGAUUCAAUAAAAUGACCAAAAAAAAAAAAAACAGAGAGAAUUAACCCACCCACCGUCCUUCCUCCUUUUUCAUUUGACCCAAGCAUCUUUAAUUUAAUUCAUCGACAAAACACCGAUUAAAAUGGCAAGCAUCUUUAGGUCGACAUUAAAUCCCUCUUCCAACUCGAUACUCUCCACACCCUUCGAGUCAUCAUCACGGUCACUAUGAUCACCAACAAUUGUGCUUUCAUAACCUAACUCUUGCUCUAAUUUACUAGAUCAUUGAUUCUAUCAACCAAAUUUCAAAUUUUUUUUGUAUAAAUAUACUGCAUAAACCUCAAUACGCCAGAACUUGGAACGAAUGGAGCAAAAAAAUCCAAUUUCACAUAAUUUCCCCAAAAAAAUAAAAAUAAAUAAAUAAAUAAAUCACGAAUCCACUUUGUAGAACAAGCUGAGUAGAAAAGGAGAAGAAAGCUAAUAGUCUUGGGAAUACAUACGAAUAUUUACAUAUAGAUACAUGAGGGGAAGAAAGCAAAUAGUCUUUCACAAAUCAGCAACUCUUUUUCGUCCAAAACCUUAAGCGACGAAGUCCAAAAUUCUUGGGUACAAAUUCCGAUAUAGGUGUGCAGAAUGGUGGCAUUAAUUAGGUGAAAGCGUUUCUUUGGGAGCUUUCUAGAAAUUGGGACUGAUAUGGGUUUUGGGGUUGGUUUUGAUAGUUUUGCAACGUAAUAAAUACGUUGUUCAAUCAUUUGAUUGGUUAACAGGAUAUUAAUAAAAUUAGUUAAUUUUUUAAGGAAUUGAACCUAAUUUGCCUAUUGGAAUUUCGCUAGGUAGCCGGUGUAGUUAUUCGGUUCAAGCAUGUUUCGCAUUUUGAACAUUUCUUUCCAUCUAUAAUAGGGUAUAUACACCUGUCAUGUGUAUGCCACGUAGGACGACUGCUG